RNAcentral lists this ribosomal RNA (498 nucleotides) under uncultured bacterium. Its description in RNAcentral is "partial 16S ribosomal RNA". It matches the Rfam family "Bacterial small subunit ribosomal RNA", at positions 899 to 1397 of the family's 1533-position model. The record is from RNAcentral.
ACUCAAAUGAAUAGACGGGGGCCCGCACAAGCGGUGGAGCAUGUGGUUUAAUUCGUCACUAACCGAAGAACCUUACCCAGGCUUGACAUCGCGUGUAAAGCAGUGAAAGCUGCUCCUCCCUUCGGGGACACAAAGACAGGUGUUGCAUGGCUGUCGUCAGCUCGUGUCGUGAGAUGUUGGGUUAAGUCCCGCAACGAGCGCAACCCUCACCGGAUGUUGCCAGCGUAAAGUCGGGAACUCUUCCGGAACUGCCCGUGCAAGCGGGAGGAAGGUGGGGAUGACGUCAAGUCGGCAUGGCCCUUACGCCUGGGGCUACACACAUGCUACAAUGGGCGUUAACAGAGGGUUCCGAAGCCGCGAGGUGGAGGCAAUCUCACAAAUACGUCCUCAGUUCGGAUUGCAGGCUGCAACUCGCCUGCAUGAAGCUGGAAUCGCUAGUAACCGCAGGUCAGCUAAACUGCGGUGAAUACGUUCCCGGGCCUUGUACACACCGCCCGU